This is a non-coding RNA of Punica granatum (pomegranate), 2464 nucleotides long. The record is from RefSeq and is a predicted model, not a curated record. Lineage: Eukaryota; Viridiplantae; Streptophyta; Magnoliopsida; Myrtales; Lythraceae.
AACGGAGGGAAACGCCGGAGCUCUCUCGCCCCUCUGUUUCCUCUCUCUCUCUCUGUCUGCAUAGGCUGAGAACAUCACAUGCGAAGGUGAAAGCUUCUUCCUUGCUGAGGCUAACAGCUUGUUCACCGAUACAGCCUGAUGGGUUUUCAUCUUCUUUGCCGUCCGCCAUGCACUUGAGGCUACGAAGUAGCAACUCAUUUCAAUUCCAUUGAAUCCGGAUUCAAGUUCCUCUGAAGUUCACUUUCCUGCUAGAAGAAGCGCUUUGAUUUUUCUGGGCAUUUCAGUUCUGAUUUCUGGUAUGGCUAGUGACAGUGGUCUGAGAGACUUGACUUGAAUUGUGACUUUUCUUGUUGCCGAAGGUUGGUUGCAGCUACACUAGACGAUGAUUGCUUCUCCUUGGAGCACCCCAGACGCCAUUAACUGGAGAAGCCCAUGUCUUUUCUCCGUUGCGCCGAGGUUCGGCUCCCAAGACGCAAUUGCUCUGCUCCGUAAGUGUACCAGUUUUAAUCAGCUUAAGCAAACUCACGCGAAGAUUAUUCGAAACGGCUUGUCUCAGGACCAGUUGCUCGUCAGGAAGUUGAUCGGGCUUUGCUCGACUUAUGGUAGAAUGGACUAUGCAGCUCUGGUGUUUCAUCAGGUGGAGACACCCCACGCUUUUACUUGGAACCUCAUGAUUAGAGAGUACACCAUCAGUGGUAGUUCUAGGCAAGCCAUUUUACUGUACAACCUUAUGAUUUGUGAAGGAUAUGCUCCUGAUAAGUUUACGUUUCCAUUUGUUAUCAAAGCCUGCUCAGCCUUAUCGGUGAUUGAUAAGGGAAGAGAGUUGCACGGGUUAGCCAUCAAAACUGGGUUAUUCAGGGACUUGUUUGUGCACAAUACUUUGAUGGAUUUGUAUUUUAAGUGUGGGGAUAGGGAAUACGGGUGCAAGGUGUUUGAAAAUAUGCCUGUUCGGAGUGUAGUCUCAUGGACAACGAUGAUGAAUGGGCUCAUUGCCAAUGGGGACUUGGAUUCUGCCCUAGAGAUCUUUGAGGGUAUGCCGGAGAAGAAUGUUGUUUCAUGGACUGCAAUGAUUAAUGGGUUUGUGAAGAAUCAGAGGCUUCAGGAGGCCUUUGACCUUUUCAGAAGGAUGCAGCUCGAAAACGUCAAGCCAAAUGAGUAUACACUCGUAGGCUUGCUGAGAGCAUGUAUAGAACUGGGAAGCCUGAAACUUGGGAGAUGGAUACAUGAAUAUGCGGUCGAGAAUGGUUUCAGGCUGGGAGUCUUCCUGGGAACUGCUCUCAUCGACAUGUACAGCAAGUGCGACAGUUUAGCUGAUGCGAGGCAAGUGUUUGUUGAGAUGGAGGCCCGGAGCUUAGCCACGUGGAACUCAAUGAUCACCAGCUUGGGUGUGCAUGGGUUUGGAACUGAAGCUUUAUCUCUUUAUGAGCAGAUGGAGAAGGCAAAUGUGGCGCCAGAUGCAAUCACAUUUGUUGGAGUUCUGAGCGCCUGCGUGCACACAAAUAAUCUGGAGAAGGGAGUUGAGUUCUUCAAGCAAAUGACUGAACGUUAUGGUAUCCCACCCAUUUCAGAACAUUACAACUGCCUAAUUGAACUGUACAACCGUGCUAGAGAGCUAGUUGAGGAGGACGAAUCAAUGAUGGACAUGCCCGUGAAGUCUGACCAAGAUUUUUUUCCCGAAUCAUUGGAGAAAACUAUUUCACAUGGUGAUUCGGUUAUGGAGAACUCACCUUUCACCCAGGCAGAGCAAAUUUUGGGUGCCCGUCGAGACUUCCAUCUGCAUGAUCAGCAUGCAGGCUCCAAAUGGGAUGUGGGCUGAUAAUGAAUGGUUCCUGUUGCUUCAUGCCCGUGGACAUGGUAUUUGUUUAUAUGUUUUUAAGUGAUUUACACCGGAAAAGUUUUGGCCUUUGAGUCAUAGCAUCACUCCUGGUCAGAAGGCCUCAUUGUGCAGAUGUCUCGUGGUGUUGUUGUUUAUGGAGCCGAGCUGAAGUUUCUGUGAAUUGAUUGCUGCUCCUGCUGAGGGUAAUAAAGCUUUUAAAAGGGUUAGCAGAGGAUCUUGAGUCUGAACAAUGUGUGAAGGAUUAUUGUUUGAGUUGGUUCUUGAGACCUGGAUCUCUGUUGAUGCUUUGCACAAGAUUGAGAGGCAUAUUGUAGCUGAUUUGGAUCAAAAUGCAGACUUCUCGGACCUGAACGAGAUGGUAGCAACCAAGUGAGGUUAGUCGGACUCAUUCUUGUUUUGAUAAGGACAGUAUUGCACUCGCACAAUGAGAUCUUGCUCUUUUGCUUUGUAGGAGAAAAGCGUGAUGCAUGAAAAGUGAUUGUUACGGGGGUUGUGAUCAGGAAAUGGUCGCCGCACGCGAUUCUUGUAUUGGCUAAUUCUCAUCAGUAAGGAAUUGGUUCCUCCUGUGAUACUGUAAAUAUGUGAACAACGCGAGAUAUUAUGGACACCGAUAGUAUUUUUCGAUCU